GCCUGGGUGGCUCAGUCAGUUGAGCAUCUGACUUCGGCUCAGGUCAUGGUCUCAUAGCUCGUGAGUUCGAGCCCCACAUUGGGCU
This 85-nucleotide transfer RNA is filed under the name Felis catus (domestic cat). It matches the Rfam family "tRNA". Rfam says of the family: Transfer RNA (tRNA) molecules are approximately 80 nucleotides in length. Their secondary structure includes four short double-helical elements and three loops (D, anti-codon, and T loops). The record is from Rfam by way of RNAcentral. Lineage: Eukaryota; Metazoa; Chordata; Mammalia; Carnivora; Felidae.